RNAcentral lists this ribosomal RNA (471 nucleotides) under uncultured bacterium. RNAcentral's name for it is "bacterial SSU rRNA". It matches the Rfam family "Bacterial small subunit ribosomal RNA", at positions 8 to 526 of the family's 1533-position model. The record is from RNAcentral.
AGGGUUUGAUCAUGGCUCAGGAUGAACGCUGGCGGCGUGCUUAACACAUGCAAGUCGAGCGAACCUUCGGGUUAGUGGCGGACGGGUGAGUAACGCGUGAGAAUCUGCCCUCAGGAGGGGGAUAACGGUUGGAAACGACCGCUAAUACCCCAUAUGCCUACUGGUGAAAUGAAUUUCGCCUGAGGAUGAGCUCGCGUCUGAUUAGCUAGUUGGUGAGGUAAUGGCUCACCAAGGCUUCGAUCAGUAGCUGGUCUGAGAGGAUGAUCAGCCACACUGGGACUGAGACACGGCCCAGACUCCUACGGGAGGCAGCAGUGGGGAAUUUUCCGCAAUGGGCGAAAGCCUGACGGAGCAACGCCGCGUGAGGGACGAAGGCCUCUGGGCUGUAAACCUCUUUUCUCAAGGAAGAAGAUAUGACGGUACUUGAGGAAUAAGCCACGGCUAAUUCCGUGCCAGCAGCCGCGGUAAUUC